RNAcentral lists this long non-coding RNA (211 nucleotides) under Elaeis guineensis (African oil palm). RNAcentral's name for it is "long non-coding RNA (EGUI_LNC003226)". Lineage: Eukaryota; Viridiplantae; Streptophyta; Magnoliopsida; Arecales; Arecaceae. The record is from RNAcentral.
CAUUUCUCAGAUGAUGUUGUACGGGGUAUGGAUGGCUGCAGCACAUAUACAGCAACCAUCCUAUUCAGACUGAUGAGUCUAAAGCAAAGGGAACAAUAUAGUAUUUUUUUAAAAAAAAGAUAAAUCUCAAACCAACCUGAAAACCGUCUCUUCCACCAAAUCCUACUGCACAAUACUGAGAGGGGUGUAUUUAUAGCCCCAUCCUCCCACA